CCAUAGGUUAAUGAGGCGAACCGGGGGAACUGAAACAUCUAAGUACCCCGAGGAAAAGAAAUCAACCGAGAUUCCCCCAGUAGCGGCGAGCGAACGGGGAGGAGCCCAGAGCCUGAAUCAGUGUGUGUGUUAGUGGAAGCGUCUGGAAAGGCGCGCGAUACAGGGUGACAGCCCCGUACACAAAAAUGCACAUACUGUGAGCUCGAUGAGUAGGGCGGGACACGUGGUAUCCUGUCUGAAUAUGGGGGGACCAUCCUCCAAGGCUAAAUACUCCUGACUGACCGAUAGUGAACCAGUACCGUGAGGGAAAGGCGAAAAGAACCCCGGCGAGGGGAGUGAAAAAGAACCUGAAACCGUGUACGUACAAGCAGUGGGAGCCUCUUAAUGGGGUGACUGCGUACCUUUUGUAUAAUGGGUCAGCGACUUAUAUUCUGUAGCAAGGUUAACCGAAUAGGGGAGCCGAAGGGAAACCGAGUCUUAACUGGGCGUUAAGUUGCAGGGUAUAGACCCGAAACCCGGUGAUCUAGCCAUGGGCAGGUUGAAGGUUGGGUAACACUAACUGGAGGACCGAACCGACUAAUGUUGAAAAAUUAGCGGAUGACUUGUGGCUGGGGGUGAAAGGCCAAUCAAACCGGGAGAUAGCUGGUUCUCCCCGAAAGCUAUUUAGGUAGCGCCUCGUGAAUUCAUCUCCGGGGGUAGAGCACUGUUUCGGCAAGGGGGUCAUCCCGACUUACCAACCCGAUGCAAACUGCGAAUACCGGAGAAUGUUAUCACGGGAGACACACGGCGGGUGCUAACGUCCGUCGUGAAGAGGGAAACAACCCAGACCGCCAGCUAAGGUCCCAAAGUCAUGGUUAAGUGGGAAACGAUGUGGGAAGGCCCAGACAGCCAGGAUGUUGGCUUAGAAGCAGCCAUCAUUUAAAGAAAGCGUAAUAGCUCACUGGUCGAGUCGGCCUGCGCGGAAGAUGUAACGGGGCUAAACCAUGCACCGAAGCUGCGGCAGCGACACUAUGUGUUGUUGGGUAGGGGAGCG
Molecule: ribosomal RNA, 1033 nt
Filed under: Escherichia coli
Lineage: Bacteria; Pseudomonadati; Pseudomonadota; Gammaproteobacteria; Enterobacterales; Enterobacteriaceae
Also listed under: 1 other name
Description: partial 23S ribosomal RNA
Rfam family: Bacterial large subunit ribosomal RNA
Source: RNAcentral